CAAUAGCGUAUAUUAAAGUUGUUGCGGUUAAAAAGCUCGUAGUUGGAUUUCUGUUGGGAACGACCGGUCCGCCCAUUGGGUGUGUAUCUGGCUUGUUCUCGGCAUCUUCUUGGUGAACGUUGCUGCACUUGACUGUGUGGAGCGCUACCCAGGACUUUUACUUUGAGGAAAUUAGAGUGUUUCAAGCAGGCAUAUGCCUUGAAUACAUCAGCAUGGAAUAAUAAGAUAGGACCUCGGUUCUAUUUUGUUGGUUUCUAGAGCUGAGGUAAUGAUUAAUAGGGAUAGUUGGGGGCAUUCGUAUUUAACUGUCAGAGGUGAAAUUCUUGGACUUGUUAAAGACGGACUACUGCGAAAGCAUUUGCCAAGGAUGUUUUCAUUGA
This 380-nucleotide ribosomal RNA is filed under the name uncultured eukaryote. RNAcentral describes it as "partial 18S ribosomal RNA". It matches the Rfam family "Eukaryotic small subunit ribosomal RNA", at positions 592 to 976 of the family's 1831-position model. The record is from RNAcentral.